AUGCAGCCGCUCUUCCUCUCUCGCUCUUCUUCUCCUGAUGUGGCGCCGCACCAUCUCCGGAUGCGCCGCCGCCACCCACGUCUGCGUGCUCAGCCACCGCUUUCACCAUCUCCUCACUCCCCUCAACCUCUCUCCCUCGCCUAUGGGGCUUUAAGAUUGAGCAGUGCUCCCCAUCCGCACGGUCAGCCCGGCCCAUGCAACAGAGGUGCUCAGGUCGCCUCCUACCCCACGGCCGCGCGCUGCGAGAGGAGCCAGCCCCCGUGUGGUUCUUCUCCGGCGACGAUGCGGCCGUUCCUUCUGACACCCUCUUCCGCGUCUGGUGCCGCUGAUGCUGGAGCACGCGUCCUUCCUCGAGCAGUACAAGGGAUUCGAGGACUCAUUCCGUGUAUACGAGCGGGGCGUCAAGUCCUUCAAGCAUCCAUAUGGAAGCACUUGUUCCAGGCGGCCCUCCUGCAGGCGCCGUUGCGGAUGAAGAAGGUUGUGUACCUCAAAAGAACCGGGAUUACCUUGGGCUUCAGUAGCAGAAACAGCAGGACCUCCUCCGUCUUCAAAUGCAACAUUCUUACUUCCUCCAAUUCUUGGGUUGCUUGCAUAAUGCGUGCCGCUAAUUCCGUAAUUUCCAGCCUCAAGAUAAAGAUUAGCUCAUUCAUGGCAGCCACACCAUCUCUUUCUGCCUCUAGUAGAGCCUCAAGCACUAUAAUAUUUGUGCUCAGACUGCUCUCCGGCGGUGUUGCCUCUGAACUGCUACCAUCUGAAGUAUGGCCCUACAGGUGCAAGCAGAAUAACGCGUCUCAUGAAAAACUGAAUGAUGCCCUGAAGAAAUUCAAAGGUGCGGUGCUUAUGCUAGGAAAGUAUCACACUGAGUGGCCUAAGGAAGCAUUUCUUCCAACGCAAUUCCAGGGCGUUCAAAAGGGGCACGUGGACGCGCCGCAAGAUACAGUCGGAGUGCGGCAUGCACGCGAUGUGGCACAAGACCGGCAAUACCUUGCCGGUGAUGGUCAACGGCCAGCAAGACGGGCAGCAAAAAAGGUUCUGGUGCUGCACACCAACAAGAACUUCGACCGGCAGAGGACCAACUGGGUGAUGCACCAGUACCACCUCGGGGACCUGGAGCAAGAGAAGGAGCGGGAGCUGGUCCUCUGCAAGAUUUUCUACCAGACGAACACUAGGGCCAGGAGUAAAAAGAUUAUAAGUCGAGCAAGUUUCAACUGGGUUGUAGACUGCCCAGGGUUGGUUUUGUUUUUAAUAGGCCCAGCCCAUGACGACAACAGGGCACAAAGAUCGAGCAGCAGUGCCUCCUGUACAAAACUGGCGACCAAGAGGAAGCACGACCCGACCAGGGGAGGAGGGAAGGCGCCAGAUCACGCGCACCGACCGCCGCAGAAGCUGCCGCCGGCCGCCAACGACCAUCGGAUUACGCCGCCCGCGCGGCCGGGAUGCCAGAGCCACGCCCGCACGGCUGCUAGCCGGCCGCGCCUUGCUAAUGGAGCCGCCGCUCCAGAUCCGGGGUUCCCCACGCAGAGGCAGGGCAACCGAGGCCCCGCCGCCAACAUCCUUGGCGCCCCGGGCUUGCCUGGCGACUGCCUCAGGCGACGGUGA
RNAcentral lists this ribosomal RNA (1599 nucleotides) under Triticum aestivum (bread wheat). RNAcentral describes it as "partial small subunit ribosomal RNA". Lineage: Eukaryota; Viridiplantae; Streptophyta; Magnoliopsida; Poales; Poaceae. The record is from RNAcentral.